AAGAGGCCAAGUUAUUCUUUUGUAUCCAUAUUUAAACUCAUGUGCAGGUGUAGACGUUGUUUUGUGGUGCAAUCAGGAUCUUCGAUUCUUUUAUCCCCUUGAAAACAUCCAUAUCGUGUUGAAGAAAAGGUAUUCAGUUGGGAAACAUGCUUUCAUAAUAAGGGACCAAAAGAUGACCGAUUUCGACCUAAACGAGAAGUUUUUGUUUCGAUUCCCACCAAAAGGAUCUAAGGUUACACCACCACUUCUAUCCGGGGAGUCUAUGUGGAAAGAUUAUUGCCCAAUUGUGUUUAGUUUAAUGGUUUUGCAUUGUGCCUUAGGGGAGUGGAGGUGGUCCGUGAUGGCCACCCCAUCACGCGUGGAACAAAAUAGCACACCGCCGCCGCCACAAAUAUAACGCGUGAAUUAUUUAACGCGUUAAAAUCAUCACGCGUUGAAAACAAUUCAACUUUUAGAUUGUUUUGUUGUUUUAUGAAAUUGAAUUAAUAGCAACUUUGAUGAAAAGUGCAAAUUAGCCCCUCAACUUUUGUUAGCUAUUUUUAAACAGCUUUCCUUUAAUUGCAAUUCAGGUCCCUCGUCUUUAUAUAGAUUUUAAUUGCCCAUCUCGACGAACCGUUUAAGUCGGUUGUAAUUCAACAAAAGCGCGAGAUUUGCGAAAAGGUGGGGUUGGGAGAUGCCACCCGUUUAAUUUAAGUUUUUUUUCCAAUGUUUAGUUGUUUUUUAUUUUGCUAUGUAAUGUAAUUUAUUUUUUAAUUUUAAUGAAAUUUAUAAUUUAGUGUUUUAUUGUUAAUUUCUAAUUUAAAAAAUAAAAAAAAAGUUGUGAGUGAUGGAAUUCCAUCACUAGUGAUGACCACCACCACUAAAAAAGGCUUGUGAGUGAUAGAAUAGUGGUUGAUGACAUGGCGGAACUUGAUUGGAUGUUUGUGAGUGAUGGAAUUCUAUCACUAGUGACCACCCAGUAAAUUGAAUCCUUCACGGAGUUGUUCAGAUACUUUAUAAUAUCACUAGUUAAUAGUUAAUUCAGCGACUUUAUGUAAGUCUUAUAAUCAAACAGCGAUGUUAUGUACGUCUUAUAAUCAGACAGCGACUUUCUAAAAAAAUGUGGUUUCAAACAGCGACUUUAAGGGACCAACUGAAUGUAUGUAGAAAACUUACUGGUUUGCAGGUUUUGGACAUUAAAGUAGCUGAUUCAAUCAACUACAUACCUAAAAACAAUCACGUAAUCAGUGCCCACCUAGAAGCACUAUUUUGUUGUUCAAGGCAAGGCACCUAUUUAUGCAAAAAAUUCCAACUAUUGUAUGCUAGAUAUAGAACCCUAAACCCUAACUGUAUGAGUUCAUAAGACUUAACCUAAAACCUAAUUAGUGUUCAUUCAACUAGACAUUGUCUAAUUCAAUUUAACUACCAGAUCAACAAUAAUACUCCACAUAACAAACAAAUAACAAAAUCAAAACCUAUAACAUCCAAAUUACACAUCGAAAAACAAUGUAAAGUAACACAAACCAAACCGCCAUAC
This is a long non-coding RNA of Helianthus annuus (common sunflower), 1516 nucleotides long. RefSeq lists it as uncharacterized. The record is from RefSeq and is a predicted model, not a curated record. NCBI's taxonomy places the organism in Eukaryota, Viridiplantae, Streptophyta, Magnoliopsida, Asterales, Asteraceae. The transcript is spliced from 3 exons.